This 253-nucleotide ribosomal RNA is filed under the name uncultured bacterium. RNAcentral describes it as "partial 16S ribosomal RNA". It matches the Rfam family "Bacterial small subunit ribosomal RNA", at positions 524 to 776 of the family's 1533-position model. The record is from RNAcentral.
GACGGAGGAUGCAAGUGUUCUCCGGAAUCACUGGGCGUAAAUCGUCUGUAGGUGGUUUAAAAAGUCCACUGUUAAAAAUUGAAGCUUAACUUCAAAGAUGCCGUGGAAACUUUUAAACUUGAGUAUGGUAGGGGUAGAGGGAAUUUCCAGUGGAGCGGUGAAAUGCGUAGAUAUUGGAAAGACCACCAAUGGCGAAGGCACUCUACUGGGCCAUUACUGACACUGAGAGACGAAAGCUAGGGGAGCAAAUGGG